GAUGAACGCUGGCGGCGUGCCUAACACAUGCAAGUCGAACGGAGAUAUGAUUUCGGUUGUAUCUUAGUGGCGAACGGGUGAGUAACGCGUGAGCAACCUGACUCUUAGAGGGGGAUAACACUCGGAAACGGGUGCUAAUACCGCAUAAGACCACGACAUGGCAUAAUGACGAGGUCAAAGGAGCAAUCCGCUGAGAGAGGGGCUCGCGUCCCAUUAGAUAGAUGGCGGGGUAACGGCCCACCAUGUCAACGAUGGGUAGCCGAGCUGAGAGGCUGAUCGGCCACACUGGAACUGAGACACGGUCCAGACUCCUACGGGAGGCAGCAGUGGGGAAUAUUGGGCAAUGGGCGCAAGCCUGACCCAGCAACGCCGCGUGAGGGAAGAAGGCUUUCGGGUUGUAAACCUCUGUCCUUGGUGACGAAAAAAAUGACGGUGGCCAAGGAGGAAGCCCCGGCUAACUACGUGCCAGCCGCCGCGGUAA
This 481-nucleotide ribosomal RNA is filed under the name uncultured bacterium. RNAcentral describes it as "partial 16S ribosomal RNA". It matches the Rfam family "Bacterial small subunit ribosomal RNA", at positions 28 to 523 of the family's 1533-position model. The record is from RNAcentral.